CGGGGCGUGGCGCAGCUUGGUAGCGCGCCUGCUUUGGGAGCAGGAAGUCGCAGGUUCAAAUCCUGUCGCCCCGA
RNAcentral lists this transfer RNA (74 nucleotides) under Nonomuraea africana. Its description in RNAcentral is "tRNA-Pro". It matches the Rfam family "tRNA". From Rfam's summary of the family: Transfer RNA (tRNA) molecules are approximately 80 nucleotides in length. Lineage: Bacteria; Bacillati; Actinomycetota; Actinomycetes; Streptosporangiales; Streptosporangiaceae. RNAcentral also lists the same sequence under 11 other names. The record is from RNAcentral.